Molecule: long non-coding RNA, 589 nt
Organism: Acyrthosiphon pisum (pea aphid)
Lineage: Eukaryota; Metazoa; Arthropoda; Insecta; Hemiptera; Aphididae
Exons: 3
Source: RefSeq, a predicted model, not a curated record
AUGAUUGCCUAUUCGUUUUCGCCUUUUCGGUAUCAAAAAUGCAAAACGCCAAAACCCAAUAGCCACUGUCUAUCUAUCCUGCCAUGUUAUUACUGUUGUAACUUGUACUUCUGUUUUCUUUGUAGACUAUAGUUACCAGUAAAUUACUUAUUGUUUUGUUAUUUCUUACUUGUUGUCAGUGUCCAGUGUUAAGAUUAACUGUUUGAUGGCCGUUGAAAAUAUUCUAUUAAUUAAUAAUAUUGUAUUGCCAUAAUUAGGUCGUAAUACGUGCCUGCGUUUGAAUUUAAUUCACAGUUUAUGAAGAUACGAUUAACUACUCGACAUGGCUCUUGAGAAAACAGAGUGCAGUUUCAUAUUGGAUUUUGUUGAGCUUGCCCAAUUGGCUGGCGUCAAAAUUUCACCACAUGUUGUGAGUGCAAUGUUAGAACUAUUAGACAUAGGGUAUUCUCCGUCAACCGUUAGAAAAGUGUGCCGUGAGAUUGCCAAGUAUAAAAGUCGACAUGAAAAAACUGGUACUACGAUGAAUAGUACCAGUUGAAAAUAAAACCAAUAUAGUUUGCUUAUUUUUUUUUUUAACAUUUAAUGACAA